GGGGACAUUGGUGACAGGUGGUGCAUGGUUGUCGUCAGCUCGUGUCGUGAGAUGUUGGGUUAAGUCCCGCAACGAGCGCAACCCUUGUCUUUAGUUGCCAUCAUUAAGUUGGGCACUCUAGAGAGACUGCCAGGGAUAACCUGGAGGAAGGUGGGGAUGACGUCAAAUCAUCAUGCCCCUUAUGCUUAGGGCUACACACGUGCUACAAUGGGUAGUACAGAGGGUUGCCAAGCCGUAAGGUGGAGCUAAUCCCUUAAAGCUACUCUCAGUUCGGAUUGUAGGCUGAAACUCGCCUACAUGAAGCUGGAGUUACUAGUAAUCGCAGAUCAGAAUGCUGCGGUGAAUGCGUUCCCGGGUCUUGUAC
This 364-nucleotide ribosomal RNA is filed under the name Clostridioides difficile. RNAcentral's name for it is "bacterial SSU rRNA". It matches the Rfam family "Bacterial small subunit ribosomal RNA", at positions 1021 to 1386 of the family's 1533-position model. The record is from RNAcentral. Lineage: Bacteria; Bacillati; Bacillota; Clostridia; Peptostreptococcales; Peptostreptococcaceae.